CCUACGGGUGGCAGCAGUGGGGAAUAUUGCACAAUGGGGGAAACCCUGAUGCAGCAACGCCGCGUGAGUGAUGACGGCCCUCGGGUUGUAAAGCUCUGUCCUCAGGGGCGAUAAUGACGGUACCCGAGGAGGAAGCCACGGCCAAGUACUGGGCAGGAGCCGGGGGUAAACGUAGGGGGCGGGGGUUGUCCGGAUUUACUGGGCGUAAGGGGAGCGGUGGCGGAGGUUUAAGUGUGAUUGGAAAUACUCGGGGUCAACUUGAGUGUUGCAUUUAAAACUGGAAGUCGAGAGUGCAGGAGAGGAGGAUGGAAUUCCUAGUGUAGCGGUGAAAUGCGUAGAGAUUAGGAAGAACACCAGUGGCGAAGGCGAUUCUCUGGACUGUAACUGACGCUGAGGCUCGAAAGCGUGGGGAGCAAACAGGAUUAGAUACCCGAGUAGUC
RNAcentral lists this ribosomal RNA (440 nucleotides) under uncultured bacterium. RNAcentral describes it as "partial 16S ribosomal RNA". It matches the Rfam family "Bacterial small subunit ribosomal RNA", at positions 338 to 795 of the family's 1533-position model. The record is from RNAcentral.